RNAcentral lists this ribosomal RNA (327 nucleotides) under uncultured eukaryote. Its description in RNAcentral is "partial 18S ribosomal RNA". It matches the Rfam family "Eukaryotic small subunit ribosomal RNA", at positions 1470 to 1796 of the family's 1831-position model. The record is from RNAcentral.
CCCUUAGAUGUUCUGGGCCGCACGCGCGCUACACUGACGAAUGCAACGAGCUUAUAACCUUGGCCGAAAGGUCUGGGUAAUCUCCAAAUUUCGUCGUGAUGGGGAUAGAUUAUUGCAAUUAUUAAUCUUCAACGAGGAAUGCCUAGUAAGCGCAAGUCAUCAGCUUGCGUUGAUUACGUCCCUGCCCUUUGUACACACCACCCGUCGCUCCUACCGAUUGAAUGGUCCGGUGAAGCGUUCGGACCGUGGCCUUUGGACGGUUCGCCGUCUGUUGGCUGCGGGAAGUUCGUUAAACCUUAUCAUUUAGAGGAAGGAGAANUCGUANCA